Molecule: non-coding RNA, 86 nt
Organism: Sus scrofa (pig)
Lineage: Eukaryota; Metazoa; Chordata; Mammalia; Artiodactyla; Suidae
Source: Rfam
UGCCUGCUUCUGUGUGAUAUGUUUGAUAUUGGGUUGUUUAAUUAGGAACCAACUAAAUGUCAAACAUAUUCUUACAGCAGUAGGCA